Molecule: long non-coding RNA, 274 nt
Filed under: Lathyrus oleraceus (garden pea)
Lineage: Eukaryota; Viridiplantae; Streptophyta; Magnoliopsida; Fabales; Fabaceae
Description: Pisum sativum (pea) long non-coding RNA (PSAT_LNC016810)
Source: RNAcentral
AAAAAACGGAUUUUUUUUCCUUUUCAUUUCCAGAAAAGAGCUCACCUUCUUUUAAUUUUUUCCACUGCUCCUAUUUUCUUCUUCCAUCGGCCUCCAUCUUCACUGUUCCAUCAUUAUAGGCUCUUUCUCUUUUCCAACAGAAUUGUUUCCUCAUCUCUCACUUUCCUUUCGUCUCAUAUACUCCUUCUGUUAAUAACCUUCAACACAUAACCUCACCAUAACCGCACUCUUUUUCUUCACUCAUCACACAAACCCUAACCUUUUCCUUUCUAUC